AGAUUGAACGCUGGCGGCAUGCCUAACACAUGCAAGUCGAACGGGAGUAGCAAUACUCUAGUGGCGGACGGGUGAGGAAUACGUAGGAAUUUGCCCUUAAGUGGGGGAUAACCCGGGGAAACCCGGAUUAAUACCGCAUGACCUCGAAAGAGCAAAGUGGGGGAUCGCAAGACCUCACGCUUUUGGAGAAGCCUACGUCGGAUUAGCUAGUUGGUGAGGUAAUGGCUCACCAAGGCGACGAUCCGUAACUGGUCUGAGAGGAUGAUCAGUCACACCGGAACUGAGACACGGUCCGGACUCCGUACGGGAGGCAGCA
This 316-nucleotide ribosomal RNA is filed under the name uncultured soil bacterium. RNAcentral describes it as "bacterial SSU rRNA". It matches the Rfam family "Bacterial small subunit ribosomal RNA", at positions 26 to 353 of the family's 1533-position model. The record is from RNAcentral.